This 288-nucleotide ribosomal RNA is filed under the name uncultured Sphingobacteriales bacterium. RNAcentral describes it as "partial 16S ribosomal RNA". It matches the Rfam family "Bacterial small subunit ribosomal RNA", at positions 1097 to 1382 of the family's 1533-position model. Lineage: Bacteria; Pseudomonadati; Bacteroidota; Sphingobacteriia; Sphingobacteriales. The record is from RNAcentral.
CGCAACCCCUAUCAUUAGUUGCCAUCAGGUCAAGCUGGGGACUCUAAUGAAACUGCCUACGCAAGUAGUGAGGAAGGUGGGGAUGACGUCAAAUCAGCACGGCCCUUACGGUCCAGGGCUACACACGUGCUACAAUGGCCGGUACAAAGGGCAGCUACCUGGUGACAGGGAUGCUAAUCUCAAAAGCCGGUCUCAGUUCGGAUCGGAGUCUGCAACCCGACUCCGUGAAGUUGGAUUCGCUAGUAAUCGCGCAUCAGCCAUGGCGCGGUGAAUACGUUCCCGGGCCUU